AGUGACCUGCGACAACUCCACAUCAAACCAAUCAGCCUUGAGAUCUCUGGGUGUCAACGGGGACAUGCACAAGCUUCAAACGUGUUUUGAACACCCGUGUGAGCCCUCAAAGCAAGUCCACGUUGUAAUUGAUCCACCGCACAUAUUUAAGUGCAUCAGAAACAACUUGCUCAAAGUGGGCAAGUUUUUGCUCCCUCAAGGACAGGAGGUGUUCCACUGUCACUACAAGGACUUACUGGACUAUGAAGAAGAACAGGCUGGACUCCGGGCUGUACCGAAGUUAACGAAAGCCCAUAU
Long non-coding RNA from Rhipicephalus microplus (southern cattle tick), 297 nucleotides. Lineage: Eukaryota; Metazoa; Arthropoda; Arachnida; Ixodida; Ixodidae. The record is from RefSeq and is a predicted model, not a curated record.